GCCUCAGUAGCAUAGUGGCUAAUGCACCUGACUUGUAAUCAGGAGAUCGAGGGUUCAAGUCCCUCCUGAGGCU
This 73-nucleotide transfer RNA is filed under the name Candidatus Woesearchaeota archaeon. Its description in RNAcentral is "tRNA-Thr". It matches the Rfam family "tRNA". From Rfam's summary of the family: Transfer RNA (tRNA) molecules are approximately 80 nucleotides in length. Their secondary structure includes four short double-helical elements and three loops (D, anti-codon, and T loops). Lineage: Archaea; Nanobdellati; Candidatus Woesearchaeota. The record is from RNAcentral.